This 372-nucleotide ribosomal RNA is filed under the name uncultured organism. RNAcentral describes it as "bacterial SSU rRNA". It matches the Rfam family "Bacterial small subunit ribosomal RNA", at positions 526 to 896 of the family's 1533-position model. The record is from RNAcentral.
CGGAGGGUGCAAGCGUUGUUCGGAAUCACUGGGCGUAAAGCGCGUGUAGGCGGCUAUUUAAGUCUGAUGUGAAAGCCCUGGGCUUAACCCAGGAAGUGCAUUGGAUACUGGGUAGCUCGAGUACCGGAGAGGAGGGUGGAAUUCCUGGUGUAGCGGUGAAAUGCGUAGAUAUCAGGAGGAAUACCGGUGGCGAAGGCGUCCCUCUGGCCGGAUACUGACGCUGAGACGCGAAAGCGUGGGGAGCAAACAGGAUUAGAUACCCUGGUAGUCCACGCCAUAAACGAUGGGUACUAGGUGUUCGGGGUAUUGACCCCCUGAGUGCCGCAGCUAACGCAUUAAGUACCCCGCCUGGGGAAUACGGCCGCAAGGUUA